UCUUGACCAUUUAUUUCAACUUAUAAUCCAACGGCUAUUCUAUUCCACUACCAACUACACUCCCAUCACUCACUUUUGCUCUUAUUCCAUACGCUACCACCACCAACUCCAGUCGACCAUUCCCAUCAUUCACUUUCAUUCCUAUUACACACAUCACCUACACGCACUGUUCAAUUGAGAUUGUCAUACGCCACCACCAAGUACACUCCCAUCACUGACUUUUCCUCUCAUUCAUGGAACUUUUCCCUCAUUCCAUACGCUACCAGCCUACCACAAACUCCACUCCCACCAUUCGUCAGAGGGGAAAGGAGGAAGAAGCAGAGGCAAGCUUGCAUCAACAAAAGGAUAAAUAAGAGGCAAGCUUGCAUCAACAACCAUGAAUCCUUUUCCACAGCAAACCCCAGAGGUCAAAACAAAGCUCCUCCACCGUCCUCACUUUUGGUUACUCCGCCGCCGUAGCUCCGUCCACCGCUUAGCGUCCCACCGCUCGCCGUGCAAUCUCUGGCCAGCCACCAAUCGCUUCGCCCCUUAGCUCCGACAUGCCUCUAUGGGUGGAUACAAGGGUUUCUAUGCUCACAAUACAAUCUCUCUAACUUGUAAGGGCGUGAAUGACAUACACAAGCGAGGAGGAACUAUCUUGGUUCAUCGCGAGAAGGAAAUGACACCACUAAGAUAGUUGACAGUAUUCAGGAUCGAGGAAUCAAUCAGGUUUAUAUAAUUGAAGGAGAUGGAACUCAGGGGUGCAUGUAAGAUUUUUGAGGUAUAAUAUUCCUAACAAUGAGAAUACUAGACCUUUUUGGGUUUACAAAUACAAAUAUGCUCCACACCUCCUUUCUCUCAUAAUUAUUUUCCACUUCCUCUUUAACACUUAGUUUAGUUCAUUGUUGAUACCUGUGAUGUGCAAAUUGAUUUCAUCAGAGUAGCAAUUUAUUAACAAUACAAGUUAAAUUUAUUGCCCUAGCACUAUUCAUGCGAGAAGCAGGUUGUUUGUGUUCCAAUUAUUUUUUUUCCCAACUUGUCCUAGCUGGUAAAUCCUAUUAAUUUUUUGAACCUAGCUCUGGGUUGGCCAUGUCAUGUUAUAGGGUCAUCUAUUAUUUUUUUGUUUACCGCUUGCCCUUUCCCAUUAGUCCACAUUUAACAGUGAGGAAGGGAAUAUCAAGAGCAUGAGAAGAGAAAAUGAUGGAGGGGGAAGGACCAAGUGUACUAUUUGAUUUCUCAUGUUAUAACCUCUUUUUAAUUGAGAUUUCUUUUUACAGCACUACUGUGUUGGUUUGCCUUAAGAUAUAUAUAUAUAUAUAUGAUACAUGCAACAAGUUCUGAUUUUGUUUUCGACAUAAUCUAUAUCUUUAUAUUGGUUUGCCUUAAGAUAUGAUUUCUCUACAUCUUUUUAUUCGUUUUCUGAUUUAUAUUUUCCAUUGAUGUUUUGAUUUCAUCUUAUCAGUUUUUCGAUUUCUGAUUUAUAUUUUCUAUAGAUGUUUUUGAUCAUCUUAUCACUAAUACUGUCAUUGUUUGGUGUUUCUUCCCAUCCCUCAACUGCGUUAGUUCCUAAAUUCUUGAAUUCCCUCAACUGCGUUUGAUUCUUUGUUUGAUUGAAUGGAUUUUGGUUCUUCUUUCAAUGGAUUUUGGUUCUUUCUCGGAGAUUCAGUAUGUGAAUGUAGUUUGCUUGAUUCCCCCCUUUGGUUGCUACGUUUGAUGUAGUUGGCAGUUUUAGUGAGCACAAUGCGGUCUGUCUUCCUAUAUCCGGGGGAAGACACUUUCCUUCUUGCUGCUCCAUGUUUUUCUGCUGCUGGUACUUUGUUAGAGGUAAACAAUUGGUUUCAACUGCCUUUUGAUUUGCAGAGUCUGCUGAUUUAUGUUUUUUUAAUUAAUUAAUGGUACAAACUCUGCCAAUUUGUUUAUCAUAAAAGCUGGCCCUUAGUGUGGUUGUUGUGGAACACUGUCAAGUCUUUUCAUGAUCUUAAAACAGCUUCAAACAUUCAUGGAUUUUAAUUAGUUACUUAUUGAUUUGUUUAAUGGUCAUACCAUUAUGUGUUAAUCAUGUGUUCUUUAUGAGCUUCUUUUAUGAUAACGUCUGAUGUUAAAUGUGCCAAUUUGAUGACACUGCUUUAAGUGGGUGGAGUUAUAUUAGGUGCAGGUUACAAGUUGUGUGGACACCAGCACAAUUCCAGAAUGAUUUUUCUUCAAGUGGUCUAAAAUAUUCAAGAUUUAGCAGGACAAAAAGAAUAUCAAAUCUCUAUACCCUUAAAUGGUUCUUUCAUUUUCUUAUUGGAAGCUAACUUUUGGCUUUAUAUGGUGCUUAUUUGGAUUAUGGUCAUGUUGGGUUAAUGAUCAUGGCAUCACCACAUAUACCAAGUGCUUCAUGAUUUCCUUUAGUUUUUUUUGCAGCUACUUGCUUAAUCAUUAUGAAGGUUUUUCCCCCUUUUUUUUCUGUCUUUUACCUUGACUCUUUUGGCUCUGAUAUGUAUGGUUGUGCCAUUAUGUGCUAACUUUGACUAACACCUUGGAAGUAUUAUAUGUUGAUAAAGGUUUCAAACUUUCACUUCUUCUAUGUCCUUUUUGAUAUUUUAACUAGAGCCAUAACCGCAUCCUUUUUCUUUCCCAAAUGAUUUUAUUGUUGCUGGCAUUGCUAGAAGUAGAACUUUUCCCAAAUAUUUUCUUUUGGAUAUUGAAUCUGAAAACAACCUUGGAGUUUUACCCUUUAGGUGGAGAUCCCAAAGUUAUUGCUGGUUGUAAGAAUUUCUAAAAACUUACAGCCUCAGAGUGAAAUUAAUACUGCUGGAAACUAAAUUUAUAUAUUAUUAAUGUAAAUUUUUACACAAGUUCUUCAUACUUAGGAAUAUUCAUACUAUUUCAUAUUGAGUCUAAUAACAAGUGUCUGAUGAUUGGAUGUAAUGGGUUGUGCUUUUAUUAGGUGAUUAUGAUGUUUCUGUCAACCCCAACAAUCCCCCCCCCCCCCCUCCAAAAAAAAGAAAAUGUAUCAUUCACUAGCUUACAUUGCUCUCUCUUAUUUUCAUAUCAUAAUCCUCAUUUGCUCUCAUUUCUCUUUCUUUUACAUUCUUACUUACAUUUUUAAUAAGAAUAUAAACAUCUAUUUUUUUUGUUUCCUAUAUGUUGGAUGACCAGUUUUUCUUUCUUAAUGCUAUAACAAUGGCAAUAUAAAUCUUUUAGGUCAAAAAUUAUUUUACUUGAGGUCCUUUGUUUUUUUGUUACAGAGGUUUGGCUUCUUCAUAGGCUUGAUUGAGAAAAUCCUAGCUGAGAAUGUGUCUUCUUUGCCUUCUUGACUUAAGGUUUAGUGAAAAAGAAGUAGCAGCUGAAGACACAACACAAUGAGCCUCACUGCUGCUUAAGAACUUUAAAGUACAUCCUUUGAUUCUCCUCACAUGAUUACUCACUUGAACAACCAAGUGCACUGUUGGUUUGGAUGCUUGAUAUCUGAUGAUGAAGUUGAAGAUGCAUUGUGAGCAGUUGGUUUGGAUGCUUGAUAUCACUGCUGAUCUCAUCAAUGAGAAUGAAUCUCUGAUUUGUUGUGUUUUUCUUUACUAUUGCGUUGUUAGUAUUAAUUUAUUUGCAUUACGUACGUUGUGAAGUUCAAAUACGCAGAUUCUCCCAUAUCAUGUCCAGCAAGAAUAUUUCGUACACUUGCCUCCCGAAAUAAGUGUUCUCCUUCCAAAUGGAUCAUGGACCAAUUCGGAAAUUUUUUGGGACUCAAUUGGUGAGAGAAGAGGUGAAAGGUUUGUCAAUUCUGGCUUAAAGGGUGAGAUAUGUUGCAGGUGGUUUGACUUCUAUAGGACUUAAUUUAGGAGGCUUGGUGAUACUAUUGCAGUUCACAAAAUGCAGUUAUAGAAAAUGCCUUUUGCCAAAUAGAUUCAGGGUUCAUGUAUUCACCUUAUAAUCUAUCUUGAAGAAGUUGUAACUUUGAUCAGUCUCUUUUGAUUAUCUCAUUUGGACUUUUCUUGAA
Lotus japonicus is the source of this 3958-nucleotide long non-coding RNA. RefSeq lists it as uncharacterized. Lineage: Eukaryota; Viridiplantae; Streptophyta; Magnoliopsida; Fabales; Fabaceae. The transcript has 3 exons. The record is from RefSeq and is a predicted model, not a curated record.